AAUAAAGUCCCGGUGUGUGUGCGAGCGUGUUGUCUGUGGAUGCGGGUGCCUGUGAGUGUGAGCGCGUGCGCUAGCGCUGCAACCUCGCACGAAUAAUAAAAUCUGGGUCUAUGUGAGUGUGUGUCUGUGUGCGCGCGUGCCUGCGGGGAUGUGUGUACUACGCUUGUAACUCACCCUGAAUAAAGUCCGGGCGCGCGCGAGAGUGUGCGCGCGUGCACGCGGGGCUGCGUUAGCGCUGUGACACGCCGUGAAUAAAGUCCGGGGCUGCGUGUGCGCGCGCGCGUGCCUGCGGGAGUACGCGAGUGCAGGCAUGAGGGGGAACGUGUGCAUACAUACGUGUGUGUGUGUGUGUGCGAAGUUGAAAUUGCAAGAGUUUACCAAAUGCUUCCCCGGAGCGUGCGAGAAGAAACGGCCACUACCCGAGUAAAGAGCAUCUCUCUCUCCCAGUUUAACCAUAAGUCUUUCAGAAAAGACAUUUUCUGCAACUUCCGAGGAGGUCCUUAUUAAAUGCUUCUUGACUGAAUUACUGAACCACCACAGACACACAUUUAUCAGGAUAUAGGAGAUAGAAAGUUGACCCCAAAGUCCAGAAGGAAGAGGAGGAGGAGGAGGAGAAAAAGGAGGAAGAGAAGGAGGAGGAGGAGGAGAAGGAAGGAAGAGGAGGAAGAAGAGGAGGAGGAGGAGAAGAAGAAAGAGGAGGAAAAAAGAAAAAGGAGAAGGAGGAGGAGAAGAAAAGGAGGAGGAAAAACAGUUUAGUAAAACAAAUUAAUUUAUUCACAUAGUGUAUGUGAUGAUUUACAUCCAUGGUCCACCAACUCUAGUAAGAUAAAAGGAGACAGUGAGUGAAUGAGGGGAUGGUGAACAGUGUCAAUUUUUUCAGAAAGGUAGAGAAGAAUAAAAACAGAAAGAAGACUAGGAAACAGGCUUAUCAGUGGAUAAUUUGUGACCUCUGGUAGAGCAGGUUCAAUAGAAUGGUUAGUCAGAAACCCAGUGAUAUCUAGCUAGUCAGUGUCAUCCGAAGUCUUCCUGGCCCCAAACCUGGUAUUCUACCCUGUACUCCAAUAUACUUAUAUUCAAAUAUGAAUAAUGGGGCAGCUAAAUGGUGCAGUGGAUAGAGCGCUGGCCCUGAAGUUAGGAGGACCUGGAGUUCAAAUGUAGCCUCAUUCAUUUAACACUGUCUGACCCUGGACAAAUCACUUAACUCCCAUUGUCUCAAAAUAAACAAAUAAGCAAGGGGGUAUUUUUCUUUUUUACUAGGUAUAGCUAAGACUAAGUGACUGACAGGGUCCUUUUGCACAGUGAUUCUGAAUGGAGAAAAGGAAAAAUGUUGAGAAAAUAGGAGCAUCAGGUAGAGAUUAUUAUUAUUUUUUUUUUUUUUGCUGAGGCAAUUGGGGUUAAGUGACUUGCCCAGGGUCACACAGUUAGGAAGUGUUAAGUAUCUUAGACCAGAUUUGAACUCAGGUCCUCCUGACUUCAGGGUUGGUGCUGUAUCCACUGCAUCACCUAACUGUCCAGAGAUUAUUUUGUCUUUAAGAUCUUUAAAAUGUUUGCACAUAAUAGGGCCCUGUAUAGAGCCCCAG
Molecule: long non-coding RNA, 1580 nt
Organism: Sarcophilus harrisii (Tasmanian devil)
Lineage: Eukaryota; Metazoa; Chordata; Mammalia; Dasyuromorphia; Dasyuridae
Source: Ensembl